Molecule: ribosomal RNA, 713 nt
Filed under: Bacillus amyloliquefaciens
Lineage: Bacteria; Bacillati; Bacillota; Bacilli; Caryophanales; Bacillaceae
Description: bacterial SSU rRNA
Rfam family: Bacterial small subunit ribosomal RNA
Source: RNAcentral
UAACGGCUCACCAAGGCGACGAUGCGUAGCCGACCUGAGAGGGUGAUCGGCCACACUGGGACUGAGACACGGCCCAGACUCCUACGGGAGGCAGCAGUAGGGAAUCUUCCGCAAUGGACGAAAGUCUGACGGAGCAACGCCGCGUGAGUGAUGAAGGUUUUCGGAUCGUAAAGCUCUGUUGUUAGGGAAGAACAAGUGCCGUUCAAAUAGGGCGGCACCUUGACGGUACCUAACCAGAAAGCCACGGCUAACUACGUGCCAGCAGCCGCGGUAAUACGUAGGUGGCAAGCGUUGUCCGGAAUUAUUGGGCGUAAAGGGCUCGCAGGCGGUUUCUUAAGUCUGAUGUGAAAGCCCCCGGCUCAACCGGGGAGGGUCAUUGGAAACUGGGGAACUUGAGUGCAGAAGAGGAGAGUGGAAUUCCACGUGUAGCGGUGAAAUGCGUAGAGAUGUGGAGGAACACCAGUGGCGAAGGCGACUCUCUGGUCUGUAACUGACGCUGAGGAGCGAAAGCGUGGGGAGCGAACAGGAUUAGAUACCCUGGUAGUCCACGCCGUAAACGAUGAGUGCUAAGUGUUAGGGGGUUUCCGCCCCUUAGUGCUGCAGCUAACGCAUUAAGCACUCCGCCUGGGGAGUACGGUCGCAAGACUGAAACUCAAAAGGAAUUGACGGGGGCCCCGCACAAGCGGUGGAGCAUGUGGUAUAAUUCGAAGCAA